Molecule: ribosomal RNA, 273 nt
Filed under: uncultured bacterium
Lineage: Bacteria
Description: partial 16S ribosomal RNA
Rfam family: Bacterial small subunit ribosomal RNA
Source: RNAcentral
UCCGGAUGGUGCACGCGUUGUUCGGAAUUAUUGGGCGUAAAGCGCGUGCAGGCGGUCGGGUAAGUCAGAUGUGAAAGCCUUCCGCUUAACGGAAGAAGUGCAUUUGAAACUGCUCGGCUAGAGUACGGGAGAGGAGAGUGGAAUUCCCGGUGUAGAGGUGAAAUUCGUAGAUAUCGGGAGGAACACCAGUGGCGAAGGCGGCUCUCUGGUCCGAUACUGACGCUGAGGCGCGAAAGCGGGGGGAGCAAACAGGAUGAGAUAACCCCGUAGUCC